Long non-coding RNA from Gorilla gorilla gorilla (western lowland gorilla), 790 nucleotides. RefSeq lists it as uncharacterized. Lineage: Eukaryota; Metazoa; Chordata; Mammalia; Primates; Hominidae. The transcript is spliced from 4 exons. The record is from RefSeq and is a predicted model, not a curated record.
UAGGAGGUACAGACUACAGGGGGCCGUGGCUUCCUCUUAACCGCGGCAGCUGGUGAUAAAUACUGUACUAUUAACAGUGAGGCCCGGCGUAAUUUCCUUAUUAGAGGGCUUCUUUACGUCUCUUCAUCCCAAACUGGGAAAUGAUGCUGUUGACUGGGGCAAAGAAUAACGGGAGAAAAACAGCUGGGUCCUAAAUAACAGAGGGAAACCAACUUUCAAUAAAGUAUUCAACAACUAAUCCACAAAGCAGAUAACUGAACUUGCUGGCCUGCUCUAUAGUGCUGUUGCUUAAAAAGUCAUCUGUGAAGAAAACCAGAGGGAGAAAUUUCACCUGCCAAAGUGGAUAAAGAGUGGCUCAGAAAUCAAAGAUGGGGAAAUAGAGGCCAGAAGUAGAAGAAAAUAGAAGAAACACACUUGGUGAAAUGAAAAUUAGACUCUGAAUAAAAACUGUGAGUAGUCAAGAAAUAGGAAGUUUCAAAAGGAGACAGUUAAUCUACUGGGAUAUAUCUGCUGAUGAUGGAGGGAGGAACUCUUUGUAGGAAUCUUAAAGAAUUCAAGGUUGGACAUAGAGGAAACUGGAGGAAAUGAAAUCCUGUCAAAUGCCUUAAAAUCUUCAGGACACAGGACACUUGCCUUUUCUCUAUAGAAAAGUUGGUUUCUUGGAAAGAAGGUGGCUGGAACGGCUAAGUAUCCCUUGGAUAAUUAUAGCUAUAAGUUAGUGUUACCCUCCCUCCCCAUUCCUCAUUCCCCAUACCCACACCUCCAGGCAGAAGUGACAAAACAGAGACUU